GUGUUACUCAUGAGCUCAUGUUUUAGAUAUUGUCUUUAAUGAUCACUGUAAUGAACAUUUUCACCCACCACCUAGAGACCUAAAAAUGCAAUGCUUUAAGGUUUGAAUCAUUGGCAGCGGCCGGCCAAUCACAUUACAUUUUCUGCCAAGUAUCUCUGAAGCAUUACCACUGGCAAUGUAAAAAUAGCUGAUGAGUGAGUAUGUCUGUUACUUGACACCGCAUGGUUAUUCUAAUACGUAUGUUUGCUUCUUCCCCAGCAUGAACUCCAUUUGGUUUCCCCUUGCCUGAUAUCUAUUUAAGUACAUUUUAGUAACUUUGAAUUUCUUGCUCACUUCAUUUCACCUGACUAGGCAGGUCUGUGAGGGCUCAGAGCUUGGUCUCCUCUACUUUUUUUUGUUUUGUUUUCAAUUCUUAUUCCGAUUAAAGAGUCAUGUUAAAAAGGGUAUCCUGGAGCAUAUAAAUAAUGGGAAGUGUUAGUAGUAAGCUAACUGUUCUAUACAGUGGGGUAAGGUUUUGGCUUAACUGAAGAAAGCACAAUGCUGUACUAUUUCUGAUCAGGAAACUGGAUCACAGAAGUAAUUAGAGAGUUCACUAGAGGCCAAAAAUGCUGAAGGUCGAAAACAUAUUACGACACCACUUCUGCCAAAUCUACUUCAUUGAACUAUUUUUAACUCCUCACUAAAGAUGGGCAGCAAUGAGGCCAAAUGCAAGCAUGAGAGGAAGUUCUAAAUACACCCAAGCACGGAUGACAAAAUUACACAAGAGGUUUGUGCCUGCAGUAUCCACUCUCAUAACAGAGGAGAAACUCCCGUUUUGUGAUUCCAUAAGGUGAAUUAAUGUAAAGCAAUACGUUCUGGAAGAAGAAUUCUAGGAGAAAACAUUGCAAACGGUUGGGAAUAUCCAACAGAAUCUUCUACCUAUUUGACAUAUGCAAUUAAUGCUUGGGAUAAUUU
Molecule: long non-coding RNA, 954 nt
Filed under: Chrysemys picta bellii (western painted turtle)
Lineage: Eukaryota; Metazoa; Chordata; Testudines; Emydidae
Description: lncRNA (ENSCPBG00000012801.1)
Source: RNAcentral